GAUUAGUGGCGAACGGGUGAGUAACACGUGAGUAACCUGCCCUUGACUCUGGGAUAAGCCUGGGAAACUGGGUCUAAUACCGGAUAUGACCGCCUGACGCAUGUCAGGUGGUGGAAAGCUUUUGUGGUUUUGGAUGGACUCGCGGCCUAUCAGCUUGUUGGUGGGGUAAUGGCCUACCAAGGCGACGACGGGUAGCCGGCCUGAGAGGGUGACCGGCCACACUGGGACUGAGACACGGCCCAGACUCCUACGGGAGGCAGCAGUGGGGAAUAUUGCACAAUGGGCGCAAGCCUGAUGCAGCGACGCCGCGUGAGGGAUGACGGCCUUCGGGUUGUAAACCUCUUUCAGUAGGGAAGAAGCGAAAGUGACGGUACCUGCAGAAGAAGCGCCGGCUAACUACGUGCCAGCAGCCGCGGUAAUACGUAGGGCGCAAGCGUUAUCCGGAAUUAUUGGGCGUAAAGAGCUCGUAGGCGGUUUGUCGCGUCUGCUGUGAAAGACCGGGGCUCAACUCCGGUUCUGCAGUGGGUACGGGCAGACUAGAGUGAUGUAGGGGAGACUGGAAUUCCUGGUGUAGCGGUGAAAUGCGCAGAUAUCAGGAGGAACACCGAUGGCGAAGGCAGGUCUCUGGGCAUUAACUGACGCUGAGGAGCGAAAGCAUGGGGAGCGAACAGGAUUAGAUACCCUGGUAGUCCAUGCCGUAAACGUUGGGCACUAGGUGUGGGGGACAUUCCACGUUUUCCGCGCCGUAGCUAACGCAUUAAGUGCCCCGCCUGGGGAGUACGGCCGCAAGGCUAAAACUCAAAGGAAUUGACGGGGGCCCGCACAAGCGGCGGAGCAUGCGGAUUAAUUCGAUGCAACGCGAAGAACCUUACCAAGGCUUGACAUGAACCGGUAAUACCUGGAAACAGGUGCCCCGCUUGCGGUCGGUUUACAGGUGGUGCAUGGUUGUCGUCAGCUCGUGUCGUGAGAUGUUGGGUUAAGUCCCGCAACGAGCGCAACCCUCGUUCUAUGUUGCCAGCGCGUUAUGGCGGGGACUCAUAGGAGACUGCCGGGGUCAACUCGGAGGAAGGUGGGGACGACGUCAAAUCAUCAUGCCCCUUAUGUCUUGGGCUUCACGCAUGCUACAAUGGCCGGUACAAAGGGUUGCGAUACUGUGAGGUGGAGCUAAUCCCAAAAAGCCGGUCUCAGUUCGGAUUGGGGUCUGCAACUCGACCCCAUGAAGUCGGAGUCGCUAGUAAUCGCAGAUCAGCAACGCUGCGGUGAAUACGUUCCCGGGCCUUGUACACACCGCCCGU
This 1295-nucleotide ribosomal RNA is filed under the name Arthrobacter sp. RNAcentral describes it as "bacterial SSU rRNA". It matches the Rfam family "Bacterial small subunit ribosomal RNA", at positions 90 to 1397 of the family's 1533-position model. Lineage: Bacteria; Bacillati; Actinomycetota; Actinomycetes; Micrococcales; Micrococcaceae. The record is from RNAcentral.